Molecule: ribosomal RNA, 440 nt
Filed under: uncultured bacterium
Lineage: Bacteria
Description: partial 16S ribosomal RNA
Rfam family: Bacterial small subunit ribosomal RNA
Source: RNAcentral
CCUACGGGCGGCAGCAGUGGGGAAUAUUGCACAAUGGGGGAAACCCUGAUGCAGCGACGCCGCGUGCGUGAAGAAGUAUCUCGGUACGUAAAGCUCUAUCAGCAGGGAAGAAAAUGACGGUACCUGACUAAGAAGCCCCGGCUAACUACGUGCCAGCAGCCGCGGUAAUACGUAGGGGGCAAGCGUUAUCCGGAUUUACUGGGUGUAAAGGGAGCGUAGACGGCAGCACAAGUCUGGAGUGAAAUCCCGGGGCUUAACCCCGGAACUGCGUUGGAAACUGGGCGGCUGGAGUGCAGGAGGGGUAGGCGGAAUUCGUAGUGUAGCGGUGAAAUGCGUAGAUAUUAGGAGGAACACCGGUGGCGAAGGCGGCUUACUGGAGUGUAACUGACGUUGAGGCUCGAAAGCGUGGGGAGCAAACAGGAUUAGAUACCCGGGUAGUC